GAUGAACGCUGGCGGCGUGCCUAAUACAUGCAAGUCGAGCGAACAGACGAGGAGCUUGCUCCUCUGACGUUAGCGGCUGACGGGUGAGUAACACGUGGAUAACCUACCUAUAAGACUGGGAUAACUUCGGGAAGCCGGAGCUAAUACCGGAUCAUAUAUUGAACCGCAUGGUUCAAUAGUUAUAGACGGUUUUGCUGUCACUUAUAGAUGGAUCCGCGCCGCAUUAGCUAGUUGGUAAGGUAACAGCUUACCAAGGCAACGAUGCGCAGCCGACCUGAGAGGGUGAUCGGCCACACUGGAACUGAGACACGGUCCAGACUCCUACGGGAGGCAGCAGUAGGGAAUCUUCCGCAAUGGGCGCAAGCCUGAUGGAGCAAUGCCGCGUGAGUGAUGAAGGUCUUCGGGUCGUAAAACUCUGUUAUUAGGAAAGAACAAAUGUGUAAGUAACUAUGCACGUCUUGACGGUACCUAAUCAGAAAGCCACGGCUAACUACGUG
RNAcentral lists this ribosomal RNA (497 nucleotides) under uncultured bacterium. RNAcentral describes it as "partial 16S ribosomal RNA". It matches the Rfam family "Bacterial small subunit ribosomal RNA", at positions 28 to 507 of the family's 1533-position model. The record is from RNAcentral.